RNAcentral lists this small nuclear RNA (144 nucleotides) under Crocodylus porosus (Australian saltwater crocodile). Its description in RNAcentral is "U1 spliceosomal RNA (ENSCPRG00005010247.1)". The record is from RNAcentral. Lineage: Eukaryota; Metazoa; Chordata; Crocodylia; Crocodylidae.
AUAUUGACCCCUGCAAUUUCGCCAAUGUUUUCCCAGGGUCAGACCUGUCACUUGCACCGUGAACAGGAUGACCCCUGUGAGUUUCCCCAACUGUGGGAAACUUGAUUGCACAAUUUUGUGGCAAUGCUUUCUUGCUCCCCAGCC